This is a long non-coding RNA of Budorcas taxicolor (takin), 3732 nucleotides long. RefSeq lists it as uncharacterized. The record is from RefSeq and is a predicted model, not a curated record. The transcript is spliced from 5 exons. NCBI's taxonomy places the organism in Eukaryota, Metazoa, Chordata, Mammalia, Artiodactyla, Bovidae.
GGGGCAUGGGAAGUGAUGGGUGGCAGAGGUCACACUUUUAAAUGGAAUAGUCAGGAUGGACUCACUGAGUGGACUAUGCUUGAGCAGGUUUAAACCAUGGAGGAGGAGGAUUCCAACCAGGGGAACAGCUUGAGCUAAGGCCCUGAGGCAGGACCACACCUGUCCUGUUCCAAGAACAGCAAGGAAGCCAAUGAGCAAUGAACGAGGAGCAUUGGGCUCCUCAACAGAAAUGCCAGCAUCUAAAAUUCUGAGGGAAGUCAUUUCCGGCCUGAAUUUUACACCCAGGGAGAUACAGUCAAGUUCUUCAGAAUGUCAUUCCUGGAAGUGGUCCGGAGGAGAAGAAAGCCUGUCCUGCGGUUCCAACCCACGCAGACUUCCCACCCUGAACGUGCAGCACUGAGAUAGGGAGAGGAAGCAGGGGGUGGUCCCUGGGGAGGAAGUGGACUCACCUCGCAUCUGAACGGCUUCUCCCCGGAGUGCUGCAGGGAGUGCACCUUGAGAGACAUGCUGCGUUUGAAGGACUUCCCACAGGUCUCGCAGGCCCCUUGGAGGCCCACCUGGAUGUUGCGUUCGCAGUCCGUCUGCCGGUGCAGCAGCAGCUCGCUCUCUAGCAGGAAGCGCUUGCCGCACUGGUCGCAGAUCUGCAUGCGGCUGUGGGUCACGUUCAUGUGCUUCUCCAUGUACCAACGGUUGUUGAAAACGCGCGGGCACUUCUGGCACGGAUGGUGCUGUUUUUCCUCCAGCUUCACCUUGGCCCCCAGCCCAUCGGCCGCCUGUGGCCCUCGGGAGCCAGGAGCGGCAGCCACUCCUGCAGGUGGCUUUGGCCGCUUCCCGCCCCGCCGCCCGGCCUCCUCUGGCUCAGGGGGGCCACGGCGCUGGGCGGACCUCGUGGCCAUGCGACUGUGGGCAGGGGGCUCUGCCCGGCUGCUGCGGCGCCCCAACCCCCCCUGCCUGCCCCCUGCCUCCCCGUCCUCCUCAUCUUCCUCCUCCUCUGAGCUCUCCUGAUCCUGCUCGCUGUGCCCCUCCUCUUCCUCCUCCUCUUCCUCCUGUUGCUCGCUGUGCCCUUCCUCCUCCUCAUCCUCCUCAUCCUCCCCCUGACUGCCGCCCUCCUCCUCCUCCUCCUCUGCUCCACUGCCUCCUCCCUCCUCUUCCUCCUCCUCCUCCUCUUCCUCCUCCUCCUCCUCAUCCUCCUCCUCUUCCGAAUGUCUCUGCAGCCCGUCCUCCCGGCCCAGCACCAUGGUGGCCGGGCCGGUGGCAGCGCCUGGCUUGCCCUCGGGCCCUGUGGACACGUGCAGUGUCUGGUUGUUGAGGUUCACCUCCACGAUGAUCUGGGACUGCUCCCGCCGACUGUAGGUGCCGGAACCCCCGAGCUCUUCCUCCAGCUCCUCCCCACCCUCCAGCUUGCACAAGCUGGCCGGGGGCCCGCCAGCCUCUUCAACGCCACCCUCUUUCUCCUCCUUGAAGAAGGGCUGAGCCGGCCCGAGGGCAGCAGGCACCGUGCCACCCGUGGCCCCAGCCCCGUCCUCGACGCGCACAGAGUAGGGGUCGGGGCCCUCUCGGGCGUAGAUCUUGGGCAGGCCCGGGGCGUCAGCCUCCUGCUUGAUGUCGCAGUAGUAGGUUGGCGCAGCUGGGGUGCAGCCAGCAGCCGGCUGGGCGAGGGUCACGGCGCCGGGGCCCGGGGGGCCGAGGGAGCGGGCAUCUAGCAGCUCCUGGCAGGACGCGGCGAUGUCGGCCAUCUGCAGCAGUGAGGCAGCACUCAGCACUUCGUGGACGUUGGCUGCGUUGACCAGCAGCUUGGACGUGUAGAUGAAGUUGAGGAUCUGCUGCAGGCCGCCAGGUGCCAGCGCCUCCAGGGACAGCUCCACGCGCUGCAGCUGCUUGUUCUGGGUGAAGAGCGAGUGGAAGAACUGGCUGUAGGCGGCCAGCACGCCCUUGUGGGCCGGGAAGACGCUGCGCUGUGGCACCAGCACCAAGUCCACGUCGCACAGGUCAGGCUGGAAGAGGCGCUGCUCGUUCAGGCGGCCCAUCAAGCAAGCGAAGUGCAGCGCCACGUCCUCCACCAGCGAGAACUCGGCCGCCGGUGAGUCCGUUGUCUUCUCAACCAGCAACUGCGGGGCCGAGGGCACAGGUCAGGUCGAGGCCAGCCAGGAGGUGCCCCCCACCCCCCAUCACUCUUGGUUCCCUGUGACAGAGAAGGUGCCGAAACUCAAGCAAAGACGAUGGGGAACCAGGAUUCAAGGCCGAGUCAGCUGUCCCUCAGAGCUUAAACUCCUGAGGCUGCGUAUCAGCUCCUGGGUCACUGGCUGACUUUUCUGGGCCUCCAGCUGUUCCACUGUGAAAUGGGAGCAGUCAUCCCGGGAAGGGAAGCGGAAAAGGAGGAAAGGGGAAGGAAAAGGUUCGAGGGGGACCAACCAUGCAGGUGGGCCAGGAACCUAGGGGUUUCCUGGGAUGCAGGACUUCUGAUACUAAAACCAGGGCUGUCCCCAGCAAAAACGAGGACUGGGUUGUCUCCCCAGAGGCAUCAUUUCAGUAUUUCUGGUCCCCAUGGAUUCUCUCCCUGACACUCACUCACAGAUAAAACCAAUCCUGCCCAGCCCCAGACACUUUAGGAACAAAAGUCACAGUCACUCUCCUGGAGGUACAGUGGCCAGAGAGAGUGCAGUGAGCUAGGUGACUUCUGUUCCUCAGGUGUUUGGGGUUGGGCAGGAUUGGUUUUAUCUGUAAGUGAGUGUCAGGGAGAGAAUCCACAGGGCCUGGAAAUACUGAAAGGAUGCCUGAGACGACCCAGUCCUGGUUUGCCAGGAGCCAGCACCGGAGAUCCCACCUAUGACAAGGUCAUGUGGAAGAGAUCUGAUAAGCAACGCUUCAGGCCUCGAGGGACCCCCCCCACCGGACCAGCUCGAGCAUCUACCCCAAAACCAGAAUCUGUCUUACUGUUUUGUGCCUUUCACCAACUCUCCUGACAUUAACAGGGGGCUAUUCCCGACCACCUUUCUCUGGAGAAAAUCAACUUAGGGCUCUAACUAAUAAAUCUCCUGGACAUGAGAGGAAUAUUUCAAAUCAAACCCCCUCUGUUAGCAUUCCAGCUUGCUUGGCAGGUUUAUCCAGACUCCUGCAGCUACGCAUGUGAUUAUUCACAGCCUCCCAGCUGUGAGAGGCACGGGAAGCCUAAAACAUAGAGCCUUUCAAAGAGUUAAAAACUAUUAGAGUAGUGCUGGUGUAAGAUUUCAUUAUUGGGCCAAUGCUUGUUGCUAAGUUCCCAUAUCUCUUAUCCACUGUGCACCUGGGAGUGCAUUAGUUAACAUAGUUGGAAUGUAAGAAAAACAAGUGUAGCCUUGAAAUUAACCACAUCAGACUUUUGAGCUAAUUGGUUUUUUCUUGUAACUCAGUGCACCUUUGCUCCGUGAGAAAUGUAACUCUGUUUAGCAUUUUCUGAGGCUGAUAUAGAUUAGAAAUAUAAAGAAAAAACACUUUGAGGGAAAAUAAGUUUUCUGGUUGAGCAGCCUUUAUCGAAAGAGGGUCAUAAAAUGGCCACAGGCCUCCAAGGCCAGAAGAUAAUGUACACAACAUCAUUUGUGGGAAAGGUAUGCAGAAAAAAUGCUGGCUUCAAUAAGGGCAAAACUGCUGGAGUGUUUGGGCUGACUCUGUAUGACCUUGCAUCUUUCAUUUCCCUCUAUGUACAAGUUAAGGUAUAAAAGUCCCUUUUGAAAAUAAAGUUAUGGGCCUCGCUCA